This 468-nucleotide ribosomal RNA is filed under the name uncultured bacterium. RNAcentral describes it as "partial 16S ribosomal RNA". It matches the Rfam family "Bacterial small subunit ribosomal RNA", at positions 28 to 507 of the family's 1533-position model. The record is from RNAcentral.
GACGAACGCUGGCGGCGUGCUUAACACAUGCAAGUCGAACGGAAAGGCCCUGCUUUUGUGGGGUGCUCGAGUGGCGAACGGGUGAGUAACACGUGAGUAACCUGCCCUUGACUUGGGGAUAACUUCAGGAAACUGGGGCUAAUACCGGAUAGGAGCUCCUGCUGCAUGGUGGGGGUUGGAAAGUUUCGGCGGUUGGGGAUGGACUCGCGGCUUAUCAGCUUGUUGGUGGGGUAGUGGCUUACCAAGGCUUUGACGGGUAGCCUGCCUGAGAGGGUGACCGGCCACAUUGGGACUGAGAUACGGCCCAGACUCCUACGGGGGGCAGCAGUGGGGAAUAUUGCACAAUGGGCGGAAGCCUGAUGCAGAAACGCCGCGUGCGGGAUGACGGCCUUCGGGUUGUAAACCGCUUUCGCCUGUGACGAAGCGUGAGUGACGGUAAUGGGUAAAGAAGCACCGGCUAACUACGUG